Long non-coding RNA from Prionailurus viverrinus (fishing cat), 432 nucleotides. RefSeq lists it as uncharacterized. The record is from RefSeq and is a predicted model, not a curated record. NCBI's taxonomy places the organism in Eukaryota, Metazoa, Chordata, Mammalia, Carnivora, Felidae. The transcript is spliced from 3 exons.
UCCGUCUCUUCCCAGCUCAAGUGAACUUCACAAAUUGGCUCCCAUGUUGAAGCUUUUGUUGAUGAUGGUCCCUGGGCCCGAAGUACCUUUCUUUCACUCCUCUGCCUCUGUGUGUCCAUCCAUCCUUGAGGGUUCUGUCUCAAGACUCAGAAUGAGUGAAGAUUCAGGAGAUGUCGGAGGAUACUAAAAGCUAAUGGGAAUGCAGACCAUUCCUUGCUGACAGUACCUGGAUAUGCUCUUUUCUUGCCUGUGAAUGGGACAUAGGAUAGCCUGUCUAUCUGCAUGGAGGCAGGCCUCCAUGAAGCUAUUUGUAAAUAAUUCCUCACAAGAAGCUACUCAAGAGGAGCAUGAUGAUGUGGUGUGCCCUUCCUGCUUCUGAGUCCUGUCACCACCAGACAGCACUAACCAGCUUUGUCGUGGUUCUAGACACUU